GAGUUAGUGGUAGGACGGGUUUGG
Molecule: non-coding RNA, 24 nt
Filed under: Arabidopsis thaliana (thale cress)
Lineage: Eukaryota; Viridiplantae; Streptophyta; Magnoliopsida; Brassicales; Brassicaceae
Source: RNAcentral